Molecule: small nuclear RNA, 103 nt
Filed under: Peromyscus maniculatus bairdii (prairie deer mouse)
Lineage: Eukaryota; Metazoa; Chordata; Mammalia; Rodentia; Cricetidae
Source: RNAcentral
UCACUUUGGCAGCAUGGACAUUAACACUGGGUCAAUGCAGAGAAGAGGAGCAGGGCCCUUGUACAAGGAUGACACAGACAUUCACGAACUGCUCUGCGGAGAU